Molecule: RNA transcript, 3259 nt
Organism: Beta vulgaris subsp. vulgaris (sugar beet)
Lineage: Eukaryota; Viridiplantae; Streptophyta; Magnoliopsida; Caryophyllales; Amaranthaceae
Exons: 18
Source: RefSeq, a predicted model, not a curated record
CGUCUUUCGACUCCAGGACAUUCCCGAAUUCAAUUACGUCUACGACACCAUUUUUUUGGCGCAAAAACAUCAUACUCAUUACUCCCUCACUCUUCUCGACCGUUAAUGCCAUAAAUUCUCUCUCCUCCACUUCUUCCACCCAUGGCUACUCCCCUUGAUCUCUGUUCUCUUCACUAUCCAUUUUCUCUCUCCUCCAAAUUCCACCGCCAUCCAUCGAUCUCUGUCCCUCUUUCUCUCUCUCUUCUUCGUCCUCUCUUUCCUUCCAGCAAAAUUAGGGUUUUCAGUUCCAAUUUUGGGAAAGUAAAUGCUCGAACUUGCAAUCUCUGUUGUUUUUGCAAGGUGAAUUUGCAAGCCGACAAGGAUGAGAUUGUGGAGGAGAUUGAUCGUCCGUCUUUCGAUAUCAAUCUCGCGGUCAUUUUAGCUGGUUUCGCUUUUGAAGCUUAUACAACUCCUCCUGAUAAUGUUGGACGACGCGAAACUGAUGCUGCGGAUUGUAUGACGGUUUAUCUUUCGGAGAUCUUUUUUAUAUGCAGAUCGUUUGUUCGAGAAAUAUAUGAUGGACAGCUGUUCAUAAAGUUGAAGAAAGGAAAUAGUUUCCCAGCCAUGGAUCCAUGGGGAACAAGUGAUCCAUAUGUUGUUAUGGAAUUUGAUGGUCAAGUUGUGAAGAGUAAAACAAAAUGGGGGACAAAAGAUCCAACUUGGAAUGAGGAAUUUACUAUGAAUAUCAAGCUUACAUCCACUGCAUUUCUUCAGGUGGCAGCUUGGGAUGCAAAUCUCGUUACACCUCACAAGCGCAUGGGAAAUGCAGGUGUUGAUUUGGAAGCUUUAUGCGAUGGAAAUUUACAUGAGUUGCUGGUGGAAUUGGAAGGCAUGGGAGGUGGUGGAAAGAUACAACUAGAGGUCAAAUAUAGGAGCUUUGGUGAAAUUGAUGAAGAUAAAAACUGGUGGCAGAUACCAUUUGUUUCUGAAUUUCUUAGGAAAAAAGGGGUUGAUUCAGCUAUUAAAAUGCUUGCUGGAUCUGAAAGUGUGCCAGUAAGCCAAUUUGUGCAAUAUGCCUUCACGCAGUUACAAUCAUUGAAUGAAUCAUACCUUCCGAAAAACUGGUUUCCGAGUGCAGUUAAGCCUGAGACAACUGAAGAGCCAAAUGAAUCUUCUGUCGAGUCUGGUACACCAUUGUCAUCGAAUAAUAUAUGUGAAGGAUCAUUGGACAAUCGUAAAUUCAGUGAUGGAGAUGAUGGGGAGGAAUUUCCAUUAAAUGAUACUAGUGACACUACACAAUCAAACAUGGAUUAUUGGACGAGCUUUAGUGAGGCUAUUAACCAGAAUGUGGUUCAAAAAAUGGGGAUCCCUGUUCCUGAUAAAAUGAAAUGGGAUGCUUUUGACUUGAUUAAGAAUAUGGGCUUUGAGUCGAGGCAGGUGGCAGAAGCUAGCUAUAUUGAAUCAGGGCUAGCAACUCCAGAAAACAAGAAACUUAGCAAUGAUAGUGAUGCAGAAUCAGGCCCCCUUGACAUUGGCAGGAUCCAGUCUUCACUUCCUGAUAUUAGGAAGGCAACUGAAGACAUAUUGAAGCAAACUGAUUCUAUUUUCAGUGCAUUGAUGGUUUUGUCUGCUGCCAGCCCUCUGUUAAAUAAGGAUAUAUUGAAGGGAGAAAAUGCUGAAAACAAGGAAGACGGUUUAUUGAAAGAGGAUGAUAAUGUCUUAACAUCUUUGAGGAGUGAUGGGGUUGUAGGUUUGGAUGAAACGAGAGCUGAAGAGACGAGAGCCCUUUUCCUAACUGCAGAAAGUGCCAUGGAGGCUUGGGCUAUGCUCGCCACUGCGUUGGGGCAGCGAAGUUUAAUUAAAUCAGAGUUUGAGAAGAUCUGUUUCUUGGAUAAUUCAACUACAGAUACACAGGUAGCAAUUUGGCGUGAUUCCAUGAGGAAAAGAUUAGUUGUUGCAUUCAGAGGUACUGAACAAACCAGCUGGAAGGAUUUGCGGACUGAUUUAAUGCUAGCUCCUGCUGGGUUAAAUCCUGAACGAAUUGGUGGAAACUUUAAGGAUGAAGUUCAAGCUCAUAGCGGUUUUCUGAGUGCGUAUGAUUCAGUAAGGACUAGAAUUAUGUCUCUAAUCAAGAAAGCUGUUGGUUUCAUGGAUGAUGCUGAACAACCAUUGGCUAAAUGGCAUGUUUAUUGCACUGGUCAUAGUCUUGGUGGUGCCUUGGCGACUCUGCUUGCUCUCGAGCUUUCUUCAACUCAAUUGGCAAAGAGUGGGGCUAUAUCCAUCACUAUGUACAACUUUGGAUCUCCAAGAGUCGGCAAUAAAAGAUUCGCGGAAGUUUACAAUGAGAGAGUGAAAGAUAGCUGGAGGGUGGUGAAUCACAGAGACAUCAUACCCACAGUCCCUCGCUUGAUGGGCUAUUGUCAUGUAGCUCAGCCUAUUUAUCUGGCUGCUGGAGAUCAGGAUAAUGCCCUGGAAAAUGUCAAGCUCUCUGGAGAUGGCUAUCAAGGGGAUGUGAUUGGGGAAUCAACACCUGAUGUCUUAGUUAGUGAAUUUAACUAGGUGUAGGUAGCAGAGCCAAAGCUUGGAGUGGACUGAACUUCAUGCUUGAUUGCAGAAGAGGGGAAAUCAGCCACAUUAAAAUGGCCUUCUGGGGAGGUACGUUGUAUAUCCAAAAACUGCUCAGAAGCAGUCGGACAAGUGGGGAUUCUUAGGAGUGAACCAGAAAAGGUUGGGUAGAGCCGGAUCUAAGCAUUGGCUAUGAUCCCACCACUUGAAACUGAUUCAACAACAGCCAUUCUUCUUCUAAGACAAAGAAGAGCAAGAACAUCGCUUAUCCUGUGUCAAUCUUAACACCCUUGCUAGUCCUUCACAAUUUCUCUGGUGUAUGUUGAAGUGUGCUAAGAGCUGAAUUGCGCGCUUUCCAUUUGACAAUUCCUCAAGUGUUGCUUAGAUGCUGGACUGAUUAUUGGAGCCCGGUGGUGGUUCGAAAAUCAAAGUUUAUCGGAAGCUUGGUCGAAAAUUCCCGAGAAAUUGGCUUUUUAUGAUUACAUUGGCAGUAAUCCUGCGUAAGGAGGAUUAUUUAGAGCGGGCUCAAUGGACAACGGCGAUGGAAUAGCUGUUGGAUGGUUUCUAACUCAAAACUUCAAAAACAUGUAUGAAAGGUGAGAAAGAACUAGUAGACAGAAUACUGCAGACAGAGAUAAAUAUUUUCCGUGCCAUUAGAGAUGGAAGCGCAUUGAUGCAACAUAUGGAGGACUUCUACUAUAUCACACUGUUAGAG